AGCGAACGCUGGCGGCAGGCUUAACACAUGCAAGUCGAACGCCCCGCAAGGGGAGUGGCAGACGGGUGAGGAACACGUGGGAACGUACCCUUCGGUUCGGAAUAACUCAGGGAAACUUGUGCUAAUACCGGAUACGUCCGAAAGGAGAAAGAUUUAUCGCCGAAGGAUCGGCCCGCGUCUGAUUAGCUUGGUGGUGAGGUAACGGCUCACCAAGGCGACGAUCAGUAGCUGGUCUGAGAGGAUGAUCAGCCACACUGGGACUGAGACACGGCCCAGACUCCUACGGGAGGCAGCAGUGGGGAAUAUUGGACAAUGGGGGCAACCCUGAUCCAGCCAUGCCGCGUGAGUGAUGAAGGCCUUAGGGUUGUAAAGCUCUUUUGUCCGGGAAGAUAAUGACGGUACCGGAAGAAUAAGCCCCGGCUAACUUCGUGCCAGCAGCCGCGGUAA
RNAcentral lists this ribosomal RNA (447 nucleotides) under uncultured bacterium. RNAcentral describes it as "partial 16S ribosomal RNA". It matches the Rfam family "Bacterial small subunit ribosomal RNA", at positions 29 to 523 of the family's 1533-position model. The record is from RNAcentral.